This 252-nucleotide ribosomal RNA is filed under the name uncultured Bacteroidales bacterium. RNAcentral's name for it is "partial 16S ribosomal RNA". It matches the Rfam family "Bacterial small subunit ribosomal RNA", at positions 524 to 776 of the family's 1533-position model. The record is from RNAcentral. Lineage: Bacteria; Pseudomonadati; Bacteroidota; Bacteroidia; Bacteroidales.
UACGGAGGAUUCAAGCGUUAUCCGGAUUUAUUGGGUUUAAAGGGUGCGCAGGCGGAGGCACAAGUCAGCGGUAAAAUCGCGGGGCUCAACCCCGCUCCGCCGUUGAAACUGUGUCCCUUGAGUGCGCGAAGGGUAGGCGGAAUGCGUGGUGUAGCGGUGAAAUGCAUAGAUAUCACGCAGAACCCCGAUUGCGAAGGCAGCAUACCGGCGCUCAACUGACGCUGAGGCACGAAAGUGCGGGUAUCGAACAGG